UAUCUAACCAAAUCUCGAAUGCCGUUGGGGGGUGUGUGCAUGUUCGAUUACACAUCACCUUCGCGCCCGGUGGCCGAAGAGUUGAUAUGAAAUAUGGGGCACGAUGCUAUCUUCUCAUGGUUGAUAUCGAGUUUGAAGCUCACAUUGAAUCCUGCCUCGUCACGGGAGGUUUGCUGUUGUCCUUUCUGAUGUCUGGUCUGGAGACUGCAACACCGUUCCGGUGAGCUGUAUGUAAACCGAUAAUAUUUGUUAUGGUUCAGUUCUUGUGUUCUAUGGAGCUGGGAUGGUAGAGCUGGAGGGUUACAAGUUGGUUUCGUUGAUCUCUAGGCUGGUGUGGCAGGUAUCACUGUUUUAGUAUUCUACCGCAUAUUUCGGACAACUUUGACUGAGUUUGUAACUACCUAC
Molecule: small RNA, 405 nt
Filed under: Histoplasma capsulatum var. duboisii H88
Lineage: Eukaryota; Fungi; Ascomycota; Eurotiomycetes; Onygenales; Ajellomycetaceae
Description: Histoplasma capsulatum H88 hypothetical RNA
Source: RNAcentral